This 201-nucleotide long non-coding RNA is filed under the name Gossypium raimondii (Peruvian cotton). Its description in RNAcentral is "long non-coding RNA (GRAI_LNC006158)". Lineage: Eukaryota; Viridiplantae; Streptophyta; Magnoliopsida; Malvales; Malvaceae. The record is from RNAcentral.
AGCAACUCAAAGAUCAAACAAAGGCGAACGAAGAACGAAAUAAGAACAAGCCACGAAAUAUCAAGAACACAAGAGAGAAUAAUGUUUGAGUGAAUACUCUCAAGAACUCUUAUUAUUCCUCAAAACUCAAGUGAUUUACAAUGAGGGGAGAGGCCUCUAUUUAUAGUAGAGCCUCCCCAAAUCCAACGGUACAGAUCAAGU